RNAcentral lists this transfer RNA (70 nucleotides) under Pisodonophis cancrivorus (longfin snake-eel). Its description in RNAcentral is "tRNA-Ser". The record is from RNAcentral. Lineage: Eukaryota; Metazoa; Chordata; Actinopteri; Anguilliformes; Ophichthidae.
GAGAGAGUCGGACCUAGUCUGGGAGCCUGCUAACUUCCCAAACCUGCGGUUUAACCCCGCAGCUCCCUCG